This 330-nucleotide unclassified non-coding RNA is filed under the name uncultured fungus. Its description in RNAcentral is "partial contains 5.8S ribosomal RNA and internal transcribed spacer 2". The stretch from base 1 to 133 matches the Rfam family "5.8S ribosomal RNA", at positions 22 to 154 of the family's 154-position model. The record is from RNAcentral. Lineage: Eukaryota; Fungi.
UGGUUCUGGCAUCGAUGAAGAACGCAGCGAAAUGCGAUAAGUAAUGUGAAUUGCAGAAUUCAGUGAAUCAUCGAAUCUUUGAACGCACAUUGCGCCCUUUGGUAUUCCGAAGGGCAUGCCCGUUCGAGCGUCAUUUCACCACUCAAGCCUGGCUUGGUCUUGGGCGUCCGCGGCCUCGCCGCGCGCCUCGAAAUCCUCGGCCCUGUGGCCCGUCCCCGAGCGUUGUGGCACAUGUUUCAUGUAUCCGCUCCGGGUGCGACGGGCGACGGCCGGCCGUGAAAACCAUUUCUUUCACAGGUUGACCUCGGAUCGGGUAGGGAUACCCGCUGA